GGGGAAUUUUCCGCAAUGGGCGAAAGCCUGACGGAGCAAUACCGCGUGAGGGAGGAAUGCCUAUGGGUUGUAAACCUCUUUUCUCAGGGAAGAAGAUCUGACGGUACCUGAGGAAUAAGUAUCGGCUAACUCCGUGCCAGCAGCCGCGGUAAUACGGAGGAUGCAAGCGUUAUCCGGAAUCAUUGGGCGUAAAGCGUCCGCAGGUGGUUUCCAAAGUCUGCUGUUAAAGACUGGAGCUCAACUCCGGAACGGCGGUGGAAACUUGGAAACUAGAGUUCGGUAGGGGUAGCAGGAAUUCCCAGUGUAGCGGUGAAAUGCGUAGAUAUUGGGAAGAACAUCGGUGGCGAAGGCGUGCUACUGGACCGUAACUGACACUCAGGGACGAAAGCUAGGGGAGCGAAAGGGAUUAGAUACCCCUGUAGUCCUAGCUGUAAACGAUGGAAACUAGGUGUGGCUUG
RNAcentral lists this ribosomal RNA (458 nucleotides) under uncultured marine microorganism. Its description in RNAcentral is "bacterial SSU rRNA". It matches the Rfam family "Bacterial small subunit ribosomal RNA", at positions 356 to 829 of the family's 1533-position model. The record is from RNAcentral.